UACGGGGGGGGGCAAGCGUUGUUCGGAAUUACUGGGCGUAAAGGGCCAGUAGGCGGCCAACUAAGUCGGAUGUGAAAUCCCCAGGCUUAACCUGGGAACUGCAUCCGAUACUGGAUGGCUUGAAUUCGGGAGAGGGAUGCAGAAUUCCAGGUGUAGCGGUGAAAUGCGUAGAUAUCUGGAGGAAUACCGGUGGCGAAGGCGGCAUCCUGGACCGACAUUGACGCUGAACGGCGAAAGCUAGGGGAGCAAACGGG
RNAcentral lists this ribosomal RNA (254 nucleotides) under uncultured bacterium. Its description in RNAcentral is "partial 16S ribosomal RNA". It matches the Rfam family "Bacterial small subunit ribosomal RNA", at positions 524 to 776 of the family's 1533-position model. The record is from RNAcentral.